This 439-nucleotide ribosomal RNA is filed under the name uncultured bacterium. Its description in RNAcentral is "partial 16S ribosomal RNA". It matches the Rfam family "Bacterial small subunit ribosomal RNA", at positions 338 to 795 of the family's 1533-position model. The record is from RNAcentral.
CCUACGGGAGGCAGCAGUGGGGAAUAUUGCACAAUGGGGGGAACCCUGAUGCAGCGACGCCGCGUGAGUGAAGAAGUAUUUCGGUAUGUAAAGCUCUAUCAGCAGGGAAGAAAAUGACGGUACCUGACUAAGAAGCCCCGGCUAACUACGUGCCAGCAGCCGCGGUAAUACGUAGGAUGCGAGCGUUAUCCGGAUUUAUUGGGUUUAAAGGGUGCGUCGGCGGACUGUUAAGUCAGCGGUAAAAGCCCGGGGCUCAACCCCGGCGAGCCGUUGAAACUGGCUGUCUUGAGAGGUCGAGAGGUAUGCGGAAUGCGCAGUGUAGCGGUGAAAUGCUUAGAUAUUGUGAAGAACUCCGAUUGCGAAGGCAGCAUACCGGCGGCGAUCUGACGCUGAGGCACGAAAGCGUGGGUAUCGAACAGGAUUAGAUACCCCAGUAGUC